UGGGGAAUAUUGGACAAUGGGCGAAAGCCUGAUCCAGCCAUGCCGCGUGUGUGAAGAAGGUCUUCGGAUUGUAAAGCACUUUAAGUUGGGAGGAAGGGCAGUAAGCGAAUACCUUGCUGUUUUGACGUUACCGACAGAAUAAGCACCGGCUAACUCUGUGCCAGCAGCCGCGGUAAUACAGAGGGUGCAAGCGUUAAUCGGAAUUACUGGGCGUCAAGCGCGCGUAGGUGGUUCGUUAAGUUGAAUGUGAAAGCCCCGGGCUCAACCUGGGAACUGCAUCCAAAACUGGCGAGCUAGAGUAGGGCAGAGGGUGGUGGAAUUUCCUGUGUAGCGGUGAAAUGCGUAGAUAUAGGAAGGAACACCAGAGGCGAAGGCGACCACCUGAGCUCAUACUGACACUGAGGUGCGAAAGCGUGGGGAGCAAACAGG
This 429-nucleotide ribosomal RNA is filed under the name Pseudomonadota bacterium. RNAcentral's name for it is "Proteobacteria bacterium partial 16S ribosomal RNA". It matches the Rfam family "Bacterial small subunit ribosomal RNA", at positions 355 to 776 of the family's 1533-position model. Lineage: Bacteria; Pseudomonadati; Pseudomonadota. The record is from RNAcentral.